RNAcentral lists this ribosomal RNA (253 nucleotides) under uncultured bacterium. RNAcentral describes it as "partial 16S ribosomal RNA". It matches the Rfam family "Bacterial small subunit ribosomal RNA", at positions 524 to 776 of the family's 1533-position model. The record is from RNAcentral.
UACGGAGGAUCCAAGCGUUAUCCGGAUUUAUUGGGUUUAAAGGGUGCGUAGGCGGCUUAUUAAGUCAGGGGUGAAAGACGGUGGCUCAACCAUCGCAGUGCCCUUGAUACUGAUGAGCUUGAAUACAUUAGAGGUAGGCGGAAUGUGACAAGUAGCGGUGAAAUGCAUAGAUAUGUCACAGAACACCGAUUGCGAAGGCAGCCUACUAUGAUGAGAUUGACGCUGAGGCACGAAAGCGUGGGGAUCAAACAGG